UACAGGGGGGGCAAGCGUUGUUCGGAAUUACUGGGCGUAAAGGGCUCGUAGGUGGCCAACUAAGUCGGACGUGAAAUCCCUCAGCUUAACUGGGGAACUGCAUCCGAUACUGGAUGGCUUGAGUUUGGGAGAGGGAUGCGGAAUUCCAGGUGUAGCGGUGAAAUGCGUAGAUAUCUGGAGGAACACCGGUGGCGAAGGCGGCAUCCUGGACCAACACUGACGCUGAGGAGCGAAAGCCAGGGGAGCAAACGGG
This 253-nucleotide ribosomal RNA is filed under the name uncultured bacterium. RNAcentral's name for it is "partial 16S ribosomal RNA". It matches the Rfam family "Bacterial small subunit ribosomal RNA", at positions 524 to 776 of the family's 1533-position model. The record is from RNAcentral.